UAAUACGGAGGAUGCAAGCGUUAUCCGGAAUCAUUGGGCGUAAAGAGUCCGUAGGUGGCCCAUCAAGUCUGCUUUCAAAGACCGAAGCUUAACUUCGGAAAGGGAGUAGAAACUGAAGAGCUAGAGUAUAGUAGGGGUAGAGGGAAUUCCUAGUGUAGCGGUGAAAUGCGUAGAGAUUAGGAAGAACACCAGUGGCGAAGGCGCUCUACUGGGCAUAUACUGACACUGAGGGACGAAAGCUAGGGUAGCGAAAGGGAUUAGAUACCCCUGUAGUCCUAGCGGUAAACGAUGGAUACUAGGCGUGGUGCCGUAAGAGGGACUGUGUCGAAGCUAACGCGUUAAGUAUCCCGCCUGGGGAGUACGCACGCAAGUGUGAAACUCAAAGGAAUUGACGGGGACCCGCACAAGCGGUGGAGUAUGUGGUUUAAUUCGAUGCAACGCGAAGAACCUUACCAAGGCUUGACAUCCUGCGAAUCUUGAUGAAAGUUGAGAGUGCCUUAGGG
Molecule: ribosomal RNA, 503 nt
Filed under: uncultured Microcystis sp.
Lineage: Bacteria; Bacillati; Cyanobacteriota; Cyanophyceae; Chroococcales; Microcystaceae
Description: bacterial SSU rRNA
Rfam family: Bacterial small subunit ribosomal RNA
Source: RNAcentral